UAAGGUUAUUAUCCAUUUAAUAGUUAAACGAGUUUAGUUAAUGUGAAAUUUAUCAAUGGACCAAUGGUAAGUUUCUUAUGUUUGAUAAAACAUUGUCUAUAUUCUCUUUUAUCAGCAUCAAAACUUUCAUACACAAACCAACAGCAUUUAACUUGCACAUUCAUCUUAAAUUAUUAAAAUAACAUUAUUGUAUUAUUUUAAUAGCUUAAUCAGUUGUCUAAUCCAUAGCUGUUUUUUACAGUUACUACCCUUUGAUAUAAAUAUGUCAUAAGUUUCCGUCUGCAGAUUUUAAAGGUCAUGUGUUUUUAAAGCCUUUUUCCUUUCUGUGUAUCGAUGUUUGGAUGCAGAGCAACUAUUUUGGCAAUGACAAUGUGUGCAUAAAGAUACCAUGAAGGCGUCCAUACAUGUUUUACAACAAAUGAAGGAACCAAUGUGAUGAGAGAAGUUUUGCUCACAGAAUAUAUUAUAAUGGUGUGAUAUUACAAUGCAUGACAUCCACACAUUUUAAAGGGAUCUUUUCACGCUUUGGUAAAUUGACAAAAUUGAAAAAAGUUGUUUCAGAUUCGCAAAUUUUCGUUUUAGUUAUGAUAUUUGUGAGGAAACAGUAAUACUGAACAUUUACCAUGGUCUAAUAUAGCCAUUAUAUGCAUCUUUUGACGAUUUUAAAACCUAAAAAUUAAAAAGCGUUGCAACGCGAAACGAUUGAAUAAUUUGGAGAGUUCUGUUUUUGUCGUUAAAUUUUGUGAAACUACGAAGAUUGCUUAUAUAAGGUAUAAAAUACUUCACGUAUAUGUACUCGGCGGAAUAGCUCAGUAGGCUAAAGCGUUUUUACGUCAGGACUCUGGCAGGACUCCAGGGGUCACUGGUUCGAAACCUGGUCCGGGCAAUGUUCUUUUCCUUUUUUUAAUUUUAUUCUUCAUUUUUUACUGGAGCUUAUACGAUCCAAUGUUUACAUUUAUCGAUAUAAAGCAUUUAAUGAAUAAGUUAAAAAAUGCCAAAAUCUGUGAAAAGGCCCCUUUAA
Long non-coding RNA from Dreissena polymorpha, 1021 nucleotides. RefSeq lists it as uncharacterized. NCBI's taxonomy places the organism in Eukaryota, Metazoa, Mollusca, Bivalvia, Myida, Dreissenidae. The transcript has 2 exons. The record is from RefSeq and is a predicted model, not a curated record.